Molecule: long non-coding RNA, 308 nt
Organism: Poecilia latipinna (sailfin molly)
Lineage: Eukaryota; Metazoa; Chordata; Actinopteri; Cyprinodontiformes; Poeciliidae
Exons: 2
Source: RefSeq, a predicted model, not a curated record
AUGACUUAAACGCUUUUACUUCCUGAUUUAACACUUUGAAAUUGGGGUUCUGUCUCUUUAAGGAACUCCUGCUCUCUGUGAAGCUCCACCUUCAGGUAGGCAUUAUAAGUGGAACCCAGAUGUUUUGGCUGAAUUGUUGCCAUGGAGAUGAAAGGAUUUCUCAAACAUGCAUGAAUGAAUCAAGGCAACACUCCAGAAACACCUGUUAGGUGGGUCUAAAUGUAAGGAAAUGAAGAAGGGGUCAUGGGAAAUGUAGUCCUGUGUGUGCGAACACACUUGGUGGAUAAAACUGAUUCUGAUUCUGAAUA